This 433-nucleotide ribosomal RNA is filed under the name uncultured bacterium. Its description in RNAcentral is "partial 16S ribosomal RNA". It matches the Rfam family "Bacterial small subunit ribosomal RNA", at positions 29 to 507 of the family's 1533-position model. The record is from RNAcentral.
AACGAACGCUGGCGGCAUGCCUAACACAUGCAAGUCGAACGAGACCUUCGGGUCUAGUGGCGCACGGGUGCGUAACGCGUGGGAACCUGCCCUUAGGUUCGGAAUAACUCCCCGAAAGGGGUGCUAAUACCGGAUAAUGUCUUCGGACCAAAGAUUUAUCGCCUUUGGAUGGGCCCGCGUUGGAUUAGCUAGUUGGUAGGGUAAAAGCCUACCAAGGCGACGAUCCAUAGCUGGUCUGAGAGGAUGAUCAGCCACACUGGAACUGAGACACGGCCCAGACUCCUACGGGAGGCAGCAGUGGGGAAUAUUGGACAAUGGGCGAAAGCCUGAUACAGCAAUGCCGCGUGAGUGAUGAAGGCCUUAGGGUUGUAAAGCUCUUUUACCCGGGAUGAUAAUGACAGUACCGGGAGAAUAAGCCACGGCUAACUCCGUG